Molecule: transfer RNA, 77 nt
Filed under: Candidatus Roizmanbacteria bacterium CG_4_10_14_0_2_um_filter_36_35
Lineage: Bacteria; Candidatus Roizmaniibacteriota
Also listed under: 2 other names
Description: tRNA-Pro
Rfam family: tRNA
About the family: Transfer RNA (tRNA) molecules are approximately 80 nucleotides in length. Their secondary structure includes four short double-helical elements and three loops (D, anti-codon, and T loops).
Source: RNAcentral
CGGAGUAUAGCUCAGAUGGCUAGAGCGCAGCGUUCGGGACGCUGAGGUCGUGAGUUCAAGUCUCACUACUCCGACCA